Molecule: ribosomal RNA, 253 nt
Filed under: uncultured bacterium
Lineage: Bacteria
Description: partial 16S ribosomal RNA
Rfam family: Bacterial small subunit ribosomal RNA
Source: RNAcentral
UACGUAGGGUGCGAGCGUUGUCCGGAAUUACUGGGCGUAAAGAGCUCGUAGGUGGUUUGUCGCGUUGUCCGUGAAAACUCACAACUCAAUUGUGGGCGUGCGGGCGAUACGGGCAGACUGGAGUACUGCAGGGGAGACUGGAAUUCCUGGUGUAGCGGUGGAAUGCGCAGAUAUCAGGAGGAACACCGGUGGCGAAGGCGGGUCUCUGGGCAGUAACUAACGCUGAGGAGCGAAAGCAUGGGGAGCGAACAGG